RNAcentral lists this ribosomal RNA (254 nucleotides) under uncultured bacterium. Its description in RNAcentral is "partial 16S ribosomal RNA". It matches the Rfam family "Bacterial small subunit ribosomal RNA", at positions 524 to 776 of the family's 1533-position model. The record is from RNAcentral.
UACGGGGGGAGCAAGCGUUGUUCGGAUUUACUGGGCGUAAAGGGCGCGUAGGCGGCCAGCACAAGUCAGUUGUGAAAUCUCCGGGCUUAACUCGGAAAGGUCAACUGAUACUGUGCGACUAGAGUGCGGAAGGGGCAACUGGAAUUCUUGGUGUAGCGGUGAAAUGCGUAGAUAUCGGGAGGAACACCAGUGGCGAAGCCGGCGACCUGGGCAGAUACUGACGCUGAGGUGCGAAAGCGUGGGGAGCAAACAGG